Molecule: ribosomal RNA, 648 nt
Filed under: Triticum aestivum (bread wheat)
Lineage: Eukaryota; Viridiplantae; Streptophyta; Magnoliopsida; Poales; Poaceae
Description: partial small subunit ribosomal RNA
Source: RNAcentral
AUGUCAUUAACCCGGAGCUCUUCUUCAGCCUCGAGUGGAACCGCUUCUCCUCCCAGCGAACAGGGUUCAGUUUCUGGUGAAGAACAUAUCUUCAACUGGGAUGGAUUUGCUGAGUUGGAGACCUGGGAAGACCCCACUCCUAGGCCAUCACCCUUUACUCUCAAGGAGCUGGGUGAUGCCUGGGUUGCUGCUGCAAAGCGCCAGCUCAUUCGCAGGCCCAAGACACCGCCCCGUGAGGAGCUGCUAAGGCGCAGCCAAGAGCAUGACCAGAAGAGUUUGAUAAUAGCGUUGAACGUCUAUGCCAAGCAAAACAAUAUGCAACCUACUGACCUCGAGGUAAUAGAAGUGAAAGCAAGAAACCUAAUCAUCGAGGGGGGAAAGGGAUACGUACACUUUAACUUUCUUGUGAAAAUGCAAGGUGACCCAUCUAGUUUGUUCUUUGCGGAGGUGCAUCCAGAUUGUAGAGAGGAGGAGGAUGUGUAUCUUUGCACCCCUUUGGAAGCUAAUGACUCGGGUAACUGUUAUGGGUGCAAGGACCGUGCAAAAGAGCUUUUGCAUCCCACUAGCGGUGGCUACUUGGGUGGGCACAAAGAUGUUGUUUUCCCCUUCAUUUACGGAAGUGAUGAAGAAAGUGAAGAUGAGGCCUGA